RNAcentral lists this ribosomal RNA (199 nucleotides) under Vibrio sp. RNAcentral's name for it is "16S ribosomal RNA". It matches the Rfam family "Bacterial small subunit ribosomal RNA", at positions 335 to 526 of the family's 1533-position model. Lineage: Bacteria; Pseudomonadati; Pseudomonadota; Gammaproteobacteria; Vibrionales; Vibrionaceae. The record is from RNAcentral.
ACUCCUACGGGAGGCAGCAGUGGGGAAUAUUGCACAAUGGGCGCAAGCCUGAUGCAGCCAUGCCGCGUGUGUGAAGAAGGCCUUCGGGUUGUAAAGCACUUUCAGUCGUGAGGAAGGUGGUGUCGUUAAUAGCUGCAUCAUUUGACGUUAGCGACAGAAGAAGCACCGGCUAACUCCGUGCCAGCAGCCGCGGUAAUAC